GGGUCAGUAGGUUGGUCGUGCCACCGGUACGUACUGGUCUCACUGAUUCCUCCUUCCUGAAGAACCGUAAUGCCAUUAAUUUGGUGUCGCGGGGAAACAGGACUGUUACUUUGAAGAAAUUAGAGUGUUUAAAGCAAGCUAACGCUUGAAUACAUUAGCAUGGAAUAAUGAAAUAGGACGAUCGAUCCUAUUUUGUUGGUUUCUAGGAUUGACGUA
RNAcentral lists this ribosomal RNA (216 nucleotides) under Glomeromycotina sp. RNAcentral's name for it is "partial small subunit ribosomal RNA". The stretch from base 40 to 216 matches the Rfam family "Eukaryotic small subunit ribosomal RNA", at positions 686 to 864 of the family's 1831-position model. The record is from RNAcentral. Lineage: Eukaryota; Fungi; Glomeromycota.